GCCAGCUGUCACUCAUCUGUCGGUUUUAACAGACUCUGGCCCCACAUUAGCAGUGUAACAGCAAUAUCCUCACUAUCCAGUGACUAACUAUUUUUUUCUUUAUCACAAGUUAUCCAACUUAUAAACCGACCAAUCAGAAGCCUCGGUCAAAGCAUGUGGUCCCUGCUGGCCCCGCCUUGAAUGAUUGACAGAUUCUCCUGAGCUGCUUUCAGUGCCGUCUCCUUCCAGCAAGCUCACUCCUGAUUGGUGACAGUAGUUGCCAUAGAAACGUGACCGACUCUGACCGAUCACUGUCGUCUGGUUCCAUGUGGCGGAGACCGUAUCACGGAAAUAUGGCGACUGAAUUCCCUUCAUCUCACUGGAGCCGGAGACAGCUGUAAUAUCAAGAUUUCAGAGCUCCAGACCUAAGCCACGUGGAUCUGGUUUGAAGAGUGAAAAACUACAAGAACCAAACACUCACAGGACUGGGCCUCUCAAGCUGGAGUCUCACCUGGAUCUUGUUGUCCAGGGUUCUGCCAGCUGGUCUGGUAGGUGUUCCCCCAAACUCCAGUCAGGAAGGUCUGACCGCUGCCACAGCUGCAGACAAACAGUCAUCCAUUCAACAAUCACCACAGGGUUCAAAACCCACAGCAGGACUCCGCUUCAUCAGUCCAAGCUGAACCUGACUUCAUCUAUGAUUCAGGUAGAGCUGUGGUUCAGCGUCUUACUUCUGAUGUGCGGUGGGGCCCUGGGUGAAAGCGCUGAAGCCAAAACCUCCGUUACUCACGAUUCCUGAGCCCUGCAGGAGGCCAGACACACACGGCUCAAUCACACCUUCCAGUCUACACUCUCACGACGUGAGCUGUUCCAGAGCGAGGGUCAUACCCCGAUCUUGUCAUCGAUGAGCUGACGGGCCACUUCCAUCUGCUGGGCGGUGCCUCUGAUGGUGAAGACCCGCGUGUUGGGGUCGGUGGAGGGAGGUGGGUUCCUCUGCAGCUCCACGUGAGCUCCAGACUGCUGGUUUAUGCUCUUUAUGGUUUCUCCACCUGCAGACCAGCAACAUGAGGACAGUUUGAGCUGAAAAACAACUCAAAAACACAGGAAGUGUCAAGAUAACAGGAGGACAACAUUUGGAGAAAAAAGAAAAAA
This is a long non-coding RNA of Oryzias melastigma (Indian medaka), 1128 nucleotides long. RefSeq lists it as uncharacterized. The record is from RefSeq and is a predicted model, not a curated record. NCBI's taxonomy places the organism in Eukaryota, Metazoa, Chordata, Actinopteri, Beloniformes, Adrianichthyidae. The transcript has 4 exons.